Molecule: long non-coding RNA, 1485 nt
Organism: Lotus japonicus
Lineage: Eukaryota; Viridiplantae; Streptophyta; Magnoliopsida; Fabales; Fabaceae
Exons: 5
Source: RefSeq, a predicted model, not a curated record
CAACGACCGUGCAUACCUUCCUUGCACCGCCACCGCUCCCUCCCACGCCCAGCCGCCGCCGGCUGUAGGCCCCCCUCUCCCUCUCUCACUCCCAGCCGCUCUCUUGCUCUCUCUCUCUCCCUCUGCAGAUCUUCAAUCGCGCCCAAAUCUCCAGAUCUCGCGUGUCCUCUCCCUCGAAGCCACACACAACAACUUUCAAACCCCGGUGCUUCCGAAAAAUCCAUCGGGUAUUGGUAUUAAGGAAAGGUAUCACCUUGUGCUGAGACAGGAGCUUUCAGGGUUCUUUGUGAAUUUUUUUAGAGCUUUUGAUUUCUAUCUGGGGCCUGGAGUUUGGAGAGCUUGAUAGGUGAAGAUGCUAACAUAUGGAGAAUCCAGAAUUCACUUGAAGAGGGGCUUUUCCAUCGGAUCGAAAUGCACAGAUUGAAAGCAUUUUGACAGAGCAUUGCAGAUCGAUGAACUCUUACAUGUGAUAUGGACGGAUCUUUAGCCUUUUCAUGGAUCACGAACAUGGAACUUUGAGCUCCAUCAGAUAUGGUCGGUUCAUGCUUCCUAAAUCUGGGUUUUGUUGAAAUGAGGGCCUGAAGAUCUGUAUAUCUCAAGACUGAGAGAUUAAAGAUGAUAUGUCUAAAGGAGGAGAAAAAACCUGAAGAGAGGAAAGCUCAUGCUCUGUUUGAGGUGAGUUUCUGUUUGAUCACUGGAGCAUCCUUAUUUUGAUUAUCUUCAAUGGUCUAAGUGUUGCUUAAAACUAGCUAUAAGAAUCGUGCAAUUUCAUGAAGCUACUGUCUCCAUUAGAUUUACUGUCAUUGGUUCUCAGGAGGACAAGUACAAGUGCUUACAAAGGACAAGUGCUUAAGGAGGACAAAAAUCUGACGUGUCCUUAGCUGAGCACCCCUCCACGUGUCAUAUUCUCACCCCUCCACGUGUCAUAUUCUCAGACGGUUUUAUAUGGAAGUCCUUUUAGUCUUCACUUUAGCAGAACCCGUUUGUUGAUGCUUUCCCAUUUCGUUGGCCACAGAUUUGCUCAAUGUCAAUUACGGGUCUCGCACAAAUCAAAUUUCUUGGCGCUAUAGAUCUCCAGUUGUAUAAAUUCAGUCCAAGCCAAGCGUAUCAACCACACUCAUUCACAAACAAAGCAAUUCACAAAUCGACUCCCACCACCACCGAAACCCCCAACCAUCUCGCCGUCGCCAGAAAAAGCGACUUGCGAUUCGAGAACCCCAUCCUCAACUCGCUCGACUCCAAAUUGAACGGUCUCUUGGCUGAAGCCUCUUCCGAAGAAAAUCCGGCCAGUCCACGGUUCAUUUUUUUUCACCAGAGACCUUCACACUCAAUUGUGCUUUUACGAUGAGACUAUUGUUCAAAUGAUCGAAAAGAAAGGGAGAUUGUGAAAGAUGAAUUCUAGCAAGGAAGUGGCUUACUGAUUUGGCUUAUGGUAUGUCUGUUGUUUGAUUAUCUGCUAUGGACAAAUUCUAAUGCCAUCCUCUC